GUUAAAACAAGUGAGUCUGUUCGACUCUCCAAAAAUUACAUGAUUUGAGUUCAAAUCGGUGUAAACCAGAUUGGUUUCUAUCUUUAACACAAAACUCAUCAGUACGAAAGGACCAUGAAUACUAUUAAUUAAUAUAAUAUUGGCAGAAAA
This 150-nucleotide ribosomal RNA is filed under the name Nesticus archeri. Its description in RNAcentral is "partial 16S ribosomal RNA". RNAcentral also lists the same sequence under 3 other names. The record is from RNAcentral. Lineage: Eukaryota; Metazoa; Arthropoda; Arachnida; Araneae; Nesticidae.